RNAcentral lists this ribosomal RNA (224 nucleotides) under uncultured bacterium. RNAcentral describes it as "partial 16S ribosomal RNA". It matches the Rfam family "Bacterial small subunit ribosomal RNA", at positions 943 to 1167 of the family's 1533-position model. The record is from RNAcentral.
GGUUUAAUUCGAAGCAACGCGAAGAACCUUACCUGCUCUUGACAUCCCGGUGACCGGCAUGUAAUGAUGCCUUUUCUUCGGAACACCGGUGACAGGUGGUGCAUGGUUGUCGUCAGCUCGUGUCGUGAGAUGUUGGGUUAAGUCCCGCAACGAGCGCAACCCUUAUCUUCAGUAGCCAGCAAUUUGGAUGGGCACUCUGGAGAGACUGCCAGGGAUAACCUGGA